AGUGAACGCUGGCGGUAGGCCUAACACAUGCCAGUCGAACGGCAGCACAGUAAGAGCUUGCUCUUACGGGUGGCGAGUGGCGGACGGGUGAGGAAUAAAUCGGAAUCUACUUUUUCGUGGGGGAUAACGUAGGGAAACUUACGCUAAUACCGCAUACGACCUACGGGUGAAAGCAGGGGAUCUUCGGACCUUGCGCGAUUGAAUGAGCCGAUGUCGGAUUAGCUAGUUGGCGGGGUAAAGGCCCACCAAGGCGACGAUCCGUAGCUGGUCUGAGAGGAUGAUCCGCCACACUGGAACUGAGACACGGUCCAGACUCCUACGGGAGGCAGCAGUGGGGAAUAUUGGACAAUGGGCGCAAGCCUGAUCCAGCCAUACCGCGUGGGUGAAGAAGGCCUUCGGGUUUUAAAGCCCUUUUGUUGGGAAAGAAAAGCAGCAGGUUAAUACCCCGCUGUUCUGACGGUACCCAAAGAAUAAGCACCGGCUAACUUCGUG
RNAcentral lists this ribosomal RNA (492 nucleotides) under uncultured bacterium. Its description in RNAcentral is "partial 16S ribosomal RNA". It matches the Rfam family "Bacterial small subunit ribosomal RNA", at positions 29 to 507 of the family's 1533-position model. The record is from RNAcentral.